UUUGGUGAAUAUACAUAAUGAUGUGUGACUUGUUAUUGUCUAUACAAAUUCUGUUUUAGCAGCAACGUUCUGAGAUUUUUUGCAGACGAAACAUCGCAACCGCAACAGAUGCAUUCAUUUGAUGAUAUCAAAUCCGCAUUAAUAACGGGAAGCCAAGUGUGGUAUAACGCUAUGUUUUUUCUCUGUAAAGGAGAUGUUCCCUGGACAGUUACCGGUGGUCGUGUGAGAGAUUUUGAUAUAACAGUCUCAAGCUCUCAAGAGAUCAUCAGUUCCUCUUUGAAUGCACUGGUACGUCGGACAGGUACAGUACAGUCAGAAUACAUCGUUGUAACGAGUACACUCCAUGACAACAGGGUCGUUAACUUUGAAGUGACGGAUAACGACGCUAAGACAUUUAACAUGGUCUACAAUGGAACGAAAAUGUGCUACCUACAAACAACGAUGCCCGGUGGAACUGUCAAUUAUUAUGUUGUGUGAAUGUCGUCAUAAACAACUUGUAAGACAG
This is a long non-coding RNA of Mytilus californianus (California mussel), 505 nucleotides long. RefSeq lists it as uncharacterized. The transcript has 2 exons. The record is from RefSeq and is a predicted model, not a curated record. NCBI's taxonomy places the organism in Eukaryota, Metazoa, Mollusca, Bivalvia, Mytilida, Mytilidae.